This 252-nucleotide ribosomal RNA is filed under the name uncultured bacterium. RNAcentral's name for it is "partial 16S ribosomal RNA". It matches the Rfam family "Bacterial small subunit ribosomal RNA", at positions 524 to 775 of the family's 1533-position model. The record is from RNAcentral.
UACGAAGGGGGCUAGCGUUACUCGGAAUUACUGGGCGUAAAGGGCGCGUAGGCGGCGUUCCAAGUUAGGCGUGAAAGUCCUGGGCUCAACCUGGGAACUGCGCUUAAGACUGGAAUGCUAGAGGAUGGAAGAGGGUUGUGGAAUUCCCAGUGUAGAGGUGAAAUUCGUAGAUAUUGGGAAGAACACCGGUGGCGAAGGCGGCAACCUGGUCCAUUUCUGACGCUGAGGCGCGAUAGCGUGGGGAGCAACAGG